AUUGAACGCUGGCGGCAGGCCUAACACAUGCAAGUCGAGCGGAGCGGCGGACGGGUGAGUAAUGCCUAGGAAUCUGCCUGGUAGUGGGGGAUAACGUCCGGAAACGGGCGCUAAUACCGCAUACUAUCAGAUGAGCCUAGGUCGGAUUAGCUAGUUGGUGGGGUAAAGGCCUACCAAGGCGACGAUCCGUAACUGGUCUGAGAGGAUGAUCAGUCACCAUGGAAAUGAGACAAGGUUCAGACGCCUUAGGGGGGGAAGAGUUGGGAAUAUUGGACAAUGGGCGAAAGGCCGGUUCCACCAAGCCGGGUGGGUGGAGAAGGGCUUCGGAUUGUAAAGGACUUUAAGUUGGGAGGCGUUACCAACAGAAUAAGCACCGGCUAACUUCGUGCCAGCAGCCGCGGUAAUAC
RNAcentral lists this ribosomal RNA (407 nucleotides) under uncultured bacterium. Its description in RNAcentral is "partial 16S ribosomal RNA". It matches the Rfam family "Bacterial small subunit ribosomal RNA", at positions 30 to 526 of the family's 1533-position model. The record is from RNAcentral.